UACGGAGGGUGCAAGCGUUAAUCGGAAUUACUGGGCGUAAAGCGCACGCAGGUGGCUGAGUCAGUCGAUUGUGAAAGCCCUGGGCUUAACCUGGGAAUUGCAGUCGAUACUACUCGGCUCGAGUGUGGGAGAGGGCAGUGGAAUUCCCGGUGUAGCGGUGAAAUGCGUAGAUAUCGGGAGGAACAUCAGUGGCGAAGGCGGCUGACUGGACCUGUAUUGACGCUGAGGCGCGAAAGCCAGGGGAGCAAACGGG
This 253-nucleotide ribosomal RNA is filed under the name uncultured bacterium. RNAcentral describes it as "partial 16S ribosomal RNA". It matches the Rfam family "Bacterial small subunit ribosomal RNA", at positions 524 to 776 of the family's 1533-position model. The record is from RNAcentral.